This 261-nucleotide ribosomal RNA is filed under the name uncultured prokaryote. RNAcentral describes it as "partial 16S ribosomal RNA". It matches the Rfam family "Bacterial small subunit ribosomal RNA", at positions 524 to 784 of the family's 1533-position model. The record is from RNAcentral.
UACGGAGGAUCCGAGCGUUAUCCGGAUUUAUUGGGUUUAAAGGGUGCGCAGGCGGGAUGUUAAGUCGGCGGUGAAAUUUUGCAGCUCAACUGUAAAAGUGCCUUCGAUACUGGCUUUCUUGAGUGUGGAUGAAGUAGGCGGAAUUUGUGGUGUAGCGGUGAAAUGCUUAGAUAUCACGAGGAACUCCGAUUGCGCAGGCAGCUUACUAAACCACCACUGACGCUCAUGCACGAAGGCGUGGGGAUCAAACAGGAUUAGAUA